AGCCAAAUCCUUAACCCGAUCGUAAAAACAAGCCAUUGUCACUAUCAAUUUCGCAUUGGCAGCUUUGGCCUGUUUAGCAAUUUCCACAGCCGUGUAAAAAGGAUUGGCUGCUGUCAUGAUGGCGCCCCGGUAAGACGCGCCAAGGAAGGUGAAGACAAACUCCGGGGAAUUGGGAAGUAAAUUCAUGACAACAUCACCCUUCUUAAUACCAAGGUUGUGUAGGCCAGCGGCGACUCGACGGGCUGUUAGCUGAACGUCAUGGUAGGUGUAAACAUCCCCGGUGGCACCGUUGAUCAAACAGGGGCGUGAGGCGAAUUUGGAGAGAUUUUGGAAUACAUAGUCGUGGAGUGGAAGAUGAUUGGGAAUGUGAAUAUCGGGAAGCUUUGAACGGAAAAUGAAUUCAUUGGUUUCGUUUGAUUCGAAGGCCAUUGUUGUGACGUUAAAUUUUGAGCUUCAAGUAAAACAGAGUACAAACAGAGAGAAGAGAAAAUGUAGAGAUGGGUUUGGUUUGAAUUUGAAUAAAGAAGAGAAGGGAUUUUAUAGAGAUUAGAAAAUAAUAGAAAAUAAGUGUUUGGUUGGUGUGAAAGAUAAAUUGGAUGUGAUGUGAGGUCUGAGAAAAUAGGUAUUCCAUUUGGUUUGGUGGUCAGAUGAGAUGUGAGGUCUGAGAAAAUGGGUAUUCCUCUGAGUUCUCACCAACCCCCAAAGUGUUUGACUAUGAAGGAGAGAAGGAGAAAUUAUGGACUAUAACGACUAUCAUCUCUUUCAUUCACCAACUUUUAAAGCAAGAAUUUCAACCUUUACCUUGUCCUCCACUUAUUGAACCCAUAAUCCAAUCUCUCACACCUAUAAUGAAUUUAUAUCAAUUAUCAUUCAUCUAAGUCACCUUAUCUAAAAAGAUGUUAAUAUCUUUUUCUCUCUAGCAUCAAUGACCACACAUGUGAUUGCAAAAUAUAUUUUGGUUAACUCAUAUAUUUAGUUCUUAAAACUCCAUUUUAUAAUAAAACAGUAAGGUUCCAAAAAAAAAAAAAAUCAUACUUCAUUAUUGUUAUUGAUAUUGCUAUCACCCAAACAAAAUGGUAAAGUCAGUAUCUAUAAUCUUACCAAAUAUAAUAUCAACCAUCAUGGAUUGACUUAGUAGUAAAAAGUGAGAAUAUUGAAAUAAACAUCAUGACAAAUCUUGAAAAGUUUUAAAAUGUUCACACAUCAAGACUAGUAAUUCUUGUAAACAAUCAAAUUACAUCUAUUUUUUUUUUGUGAAGCCCACAUUUUAUUAUGAAAUAAUAAAUAACAAUAAAUAUAAUAGUUAAUUAGUUAUUAAACAAAAUUUAAAGUUAAAUGGUUUAUUUGAUACCAACUUAAAAAUUUAACACCAACCCCUUCCAAUUUAUAAAACAAGGUUGUUAUUGAAUGCAUGGGUCAAGGUCAAGAGUGUACACCCAACAGAUCUAAUUUUAAAGUUUUGUCCUUAGUAUUUGAAUUUUUUAAAGAUUUCUAUAGAUUAAAAAAUGCCUAUUAACAGUGGAAGAAAUUGUAAACAAACAAAAGAGGAAAAAAGAAAACCAAGAAGAUCGAGAGUCUGAGUAGGAAACAAAAUUAUAGUACUCAAAGUUUAAAAAGAUAGAUAUGAUUUUAUUUAAACUAUGUGAUGUGACUAACAAUGGAGAGAAUAAAGUAAAAAGGAAAAAAAGUUGAUAAAGUAAUUAGAAUGGUGAAGAAAAUAAUUGAAUUUAAUAACGUAGGUGGAGGGGAAUAGUCAAAGUUAGAAACAUUGGGUCGUUCAAAGUUUUGAUGCUUGGUAUAGUGAAUUUGUGCUCGUGCUUGUGGUUCGCCAGUUGCCAUGAGCCUUCCCACGUUUGUUUUACAUUCUACAAUUUUCUUUAUAUAUUUUAACGGAUGUUUUUUAAAUUAACUUACUUAUAAAUAUACAGAAUAAUUUAAAAAAAUAAUAUUUUUAAAUUAAUAAAAUAAACCAAAAUAUUUACAAGCUUUACAAAAAAUUAUGAAUUCUAUGAUAAUAAUUAAUAAACUCAUAUAACCGGUUAUGUCUGCUAUUGAUAUAAUUUUAAAAAUUUUGUUAUAUAUAUAAUCUUUCAUUAAAUUUGCUAUUUUUGAUAAUUUCUUUUUAAAAGUUUUAUUUUUAAAAAAAUUAAAAGAAGUUGGGUACCCUCCAACAUUUAUUAUAUUAUUAUUGUUUUGAAAAAGGAGAGUAGAUGUAUAUAUUUAACCAUUAUUGAAAAAAAUCAAAACUUUAUUAUUUUUUAAAAAAAGUAUAAUUUAUUUCAAAAGUUAUGAUUUAAUGUUGAAUUUCUGUAAAUAAUUCAAAAUGCAUAUACUAAAUAGAAAUUCUAUAAAAAAAAAUAAUAAUAAUUAAGUGAAGUUCAAGUUUUGGUGAUCUAAAACAAUCUAGAUUUCUUAAAAAUAUAUUAUGGCAAAAGAAAAAAAAUGAAGUUUAUAAAUGAGAAGAAAUAGAAAUAAAAAUUGUAAAUUUGUAACUGAUUCUUAUGGUACAGUUUAAUUUGCAAUUAAAUAAAAAAAAAUUGUGCGUAUUUAAAUUAGUUGAGUGUAUAUUUAAAAAAAUAAAAAAUAUUAAAAUAAUUGAUUUUGCUUCUAAUUUGGCGGCAUGAUUAAUAACAAAAUUUAAAUUUGGCCAAAGAAAAAAAGUUAUCAAAAAUAAUUUAUUACGCAUUAAUUAGAAAAAUCUUGUAAGUAAAAGCUUUUCUUGUGAGGUAUAUUAAAUUUUUUUAGUUUAACAGUUUUAAUUUUUGGAGUUUCAGGAGAUGGGUGGCGAGAUGUUUGUGAGAUAAAAAAUUGAUGUUUUAAAUCAUUGUAAAAUAUCUUUAAAAUACAGAUAACAUUGAUUUGAAAUUUAAAAUAUCUUUAAAAUACUAAAAAGUUCAUAACAUUAUUUAGUUUUGAAGUUCCUAGAUAUUUGUGAGAUAGAAAAAAGUGGUUAAAAAACUACUUAAAACAUCCAUCAAAUCACCUAAAAUAAGUAUAAAAUUGAUUUGAAGUAUGGUAUUUCAAAUUUUGAAAUCGCACCAAACCUAAAUAAAAAGUCAUAGCUAACAAAUUUCUUUACACAUUUUCAACUUAAUUGGACACAAAAUAAUGAUGUAAUAUAUAUUAAAAGUAGAAAAACUAAUUAAGAAUAUGAAAAAUGUAUUUUGGAUACACAACCCACAAGCUGACUCAAACUUUAGUUGCGGGGAAGCACACAUCUAUUCACACAUCCCACCAACCAAUUCGACGAAAAAUAAUUAUGAACAAUAUUAUAUACAUAACAUAUUCAAAUUAAAUUACAAUUGAGGCUUCACGUGAAAUUUUGUUGAUACACAUUCCAUAAAGACCCUAAACUUUAGUUCGGAUGAAAUUGUUGCUGCUGUCCAAGUCGUCCAAAUAGAUAUCGUUGUUGUUGCUGCUGCUACCCAAGUCACCGCCCUCCACCUAAUGGAUUGCUCCGUUUGUUGGUUGCGGGUUGUUCAUCGUUGUGCAAAUGGGAGUUACCUCCGAGAGGUCACCAUGGUGGAAUAAUUAAUAUAUAUAUUUGCCUCUGAAAUUAUAUAAUUCAGAUUUAAUUAUUUCAAUAAUAUACAAACUAACAACAAAUUGCCUCUUCCGAAUUUUAAAAGUAAUACACACAAAUCAACAAAUUUGAUUUAUAGAAAUGAAAUUAAAAGAUGGCAACGAGAGGAUAGAAAUUAGAUUUAACUUGCUAUCUAUUAAUUAGGAACGGAUUUAUUAAGGAGUGAAAGGUGCGUGUUUCUCACAUUCUCAAUUUUUAUAUUUUAAUAUUAAUUUGAAGUGUUAGAUUACCAUAUAUAUAUAUAUUAAAUAACGUUUUAUUACUAUUAAUUUAUGUCUCAUAUAUAUAGUGGCUUUGCUCUCCUUCAACGACCUACGAUUUUCCUUUUUUAUAGAAUGUUUGGUACGUAUGAUUUCUCAAUUUUAUUAAUAUUAUUCUUUUUCACCGCUUUUUAAUUAUAUAGGAAAAGUAUUAAUUCACAUCAAACAAAUGCUAGAGAAACAAAACCUAACACAUGUUUUCAACUAAAAGGUAAUCUUGAUUGGAUCUCCAUUAUAAAUUGUAUUAUAUGUAUAUAUAAAAAAAAACAAUCUAUAACUUUGCUUAAAGAGAGUGUCUUUUCAUAUGUUUUCAAUUUGUCUACAUCUAUAAUCAAUUUCCGUUCUAUAUUCUUUGUAAAAAUACAAAUGUGGAAGAAAUAUAAUAAAUUUCCCUAACAUCAAAAUAAACUGAUUUGAUAUCAUUAAAAAAGAUUGAGAUCCAAACCUACAAAAUUCAAACAAGCAUUUUCAAUCAACAAAAAAAAAUUGUAAUAUGAUAAAAGAAACGGUGAAUCCAAAUAGAAGCGACAAAGGAAACUCCCACCACAUACCACAUAAAUAAAAACUAGGAUGAACUGAUUUGGAUUAACUCUUUGAAAUACUUUCUUUUGAGAUUUUUUUAUUCGAUAAUUUAUUUAUAUUUUACGAUUAAAAAAUAACUAAGUCAAUCUUAAAAACUAAGAAAAGUAACUUCCAAAAAACUAUUUUUAUUUUUAAAAUUUGACUGUUGUUUUCAAAAUAGACUUAAUUUUUAAAAGCAAAACAGAACUUGAAAUAAAUAGUAUAUUACCACUAACCAUAUUCAACUUAUAUAAAAAAAAGGACUAAAUUACAAAAUUUGAUAUGAAUUUUACUUUUAAUAUACAUGUAUAAAAAAGAUCUUUCAAAACAAAUUUAUGCGUUUAAAUUUUGUAAUCCUUAGAACGUACAAGGCAUAACAACCAAAAAUAAUUUUAGAUUCUAUUAUAUUGAUAGAUAUUAAUAUGCUUAUAUUGAAUAGAUAAUGAUAGAAGUUCCUAUUAUUUGUAGAAUCCAAUUUUUUUUUAUAGUUUGUAAAUAUUUCACUAUAUUUGAAUUUUUUUUCUUAACUUAUAACAAUUUUUGUAAUUUAAUCUUCAAAUACUAAAUAGAAAAAUAAUUUAUAAAUAUGAUAAAAUUAAUUUUUCUUUCCACAGCUAAUAAACCAUGAAAGAUUAGUAUAGAGAUACUUUAACCUCUAUAUUUAAAAAUAUUUUGAACCAUUUUAUUGUAUUUAAAAACAGCUUUAUAAAUAUAUAAUUUAAAAGGAAUAUAUCAAAAAUAAAUGGAAAAUAUGGUACGGUCCAAUAGAAAGUUUUGUGAAAAGAUUCCCACUUAUUUAUAUUUUUUUCUUUUAGAAAAAUCCCCAAUUAUUUAUCUCACCAACAAAGCACAAAAUUGGUAUCAUUUUCUCUUCUCUGUAAAAUCCCUUCUUCUUUCUAUCUUCACACCAAACUCAUCUCUACUCUUUCUCAAACCUCAACAAUGGCCUUUCAAUCAAACCAAACUCGUUCAAAGCUUCCCGACAUUCACAUUCAAAUUCCCAAUCAUCUCCCACUUCACCAAUACGUUUUUCCAAAAUUUGCCUCCCGCCCCUGUUUGAUCAACGCAUGAUGUUCAGCUAACAGCCCGACGAGUCGCCGCUGGCCUACACAACAUCGUCGGUAUUAAGAAGGGUGAUGUUGUCAUGAGUUUACUUCCUAAUUCCCCCAGAUUAUGUCUUCACCUUCCUUGGCGCGUCUUACCGGGGCUCCAUCAUGACAGCAGCCAUUCCUUUUUACACGGCUGUGGAAAUUGAUUAUAGAUAUAGACAAAUUGAAAGUAUAUGAAAAUAAGAACGAAGUAUAAAUUAUUUUUACAAGAAAAUAUAUGAAAAAUAAAAAAUUAUCUUUUAUCUGUCUAAUAAAAAUAAAUAUCUUAAUUUGGAUUAUUUAUUAACUUAUUAUUUUUUUAACCCUAACAAAUAUUAUGGUUUGGGAUUUCUUGCCCAAAAUAAGUUUAAAUAAUUAGUUUGAUAGAACAAAUUUAUUUAUUUUUAAAAAAUGACAAAAAAAAAAGUCCACGUAUUUGUGAUACCAAUACACACAAUACACUACCAAUAUAUAUUUACACUUUAUAUUCUUCUGAUAAGCACUUGAUAUACGUUAUAUACACAUACACAUUUGAUACACACUUUAUAUACAAAAUAUUAGAAUUUAUGAUAAAGAUUUUGAAUUUUUGUUAAAGGUUGGUAAACUACAACACAUACUAUUAUAAUCUAAACCAAAAUAAUCUAUAACCCAAAUACAAACUAUUAUAAUCCAACUAUAAUAACUCAAGGAUUACAAUAACUCACUUUUUGCCUCAAAUGCUCGUAAAAAAUUUGAUAAAUAUAACUCAUUUAGAAUAAUAUCACAUUGUUUUAUUUACCAAAAUGUCACAUUGUUUUAUUUACGAAAAUGUUAUUAGUUCUACAAAUGAUUUUAGUCAAUAACUAAACACUUGGUAGUUGGUAUUAAAUUUAAUAUUCCUGAAUAAUACAUAUCAAAUGUAAUGGAAUACAAAAUUAAAUUUUUGAGGUGAAAAAAAUGCUAAGUUUACAAGGGUGAUAAUAGAGGAGCAAUUUAGGGUUUUAAUUGUAAGCACCGGAAGCUAAUUUUGCUCUAAGUUCUUUUCUAAGGAUUUUGCCGGAAGGAGCUUUUGGAAUAGCAUUAACGAAAAACACACGUUUUAGUCUUUUGUAAAAAACAACUUGUUUUGUUAUGAAUUGCUUUACUUCUUCCUCGGUUAUUGCACCGCCGUUCGCCUUCACCACAAACGCCACCGGCACUUCUCCCGCCUCUACAUCCGGCAUACUAAAAAACAAUAAGAAAAAUAAAAUUGGAUUAGAAAUGAAACUCCCACAAAUAUUUUUUAGCGAAAACAAAGAGCGAAAUUCAUUUGAACUCACCCAAUAACAGCAGCAUCAGAUAGUUUAGGAUGUGUGAUAAGAAGAGCCUCUAGUUCAGCAGGAGCCACUUGAAAGGCCUUGAAUUUGAUAAGCUCUUUAAGUCGGUCGACGAUGAAGAGCUCGUCAUCGUCGUCCACGAAGCCGAUGUCACCCGUGUGAAGCCAUCCUUCUUUGUCAACAGUCCUCUUCGUUGACUCCAAAUCAUUCAAAUAUCCUUUCAUGAUUUGAUCACCUCUAAUACAAAUUUCUCCGGAGGAAUUCGCCGGCAAUGAGGCGCCGGUUUCGGUGUCAACAAUCUUCAUCUCUGCAUUGCGGACCACUGUUCCACAUGCUCCUGCUUUUACUUGAAAUGGUUCUUUUGCAAAAGCCAAACUCAUGGAUAGAACGGGACCAGCCUCGGUCAUUCCAUACCCCUGUCCUAGAACCGCCAUCGGAAAUUUCUCCCUCACGGCAUCUUCCAAUUCCUUCCCCAGUGGAGCUCCACCGGAUUUGAGAACCCUCACGGACGACACGUCGUAUUUCUCAAAUUCCGGUGACUUAGCAAUGGCCAAAAAGAUCGGCGGCACAAUUGGCAUUAUGGAAAUUCUGUGUUUCUCAAUCAAUUGUAGGAGCGAAACAAUGUCAAAUUUCUGCAUUAUUAAAAUCGCAGCGCCAACUCGUAGACCACACAACAAAAUUGAAUUGAGUGAAUAGAUAUGAAAAAACGGCAACACAGAGAGGAUGACAUCAUCGGCAUGAUAAUAGAGGUUCGGAUUUUCGCCGUCCAUUUGUUGAGCGACACUUGUGAUUAACCCUUUAUGCGUCAACAUCACUCCCUUCGGCAAACCGGUAGUGCCGGAGGAAUACGGCAACGCCACCACGUCAUUAGAGGAAAAAUCCACCAACGGCGCAAGAGAUUCAUCAGCCCCACUCAAAACAGAAAAAUGCAAACAACCCUCUACAGCAAAAUCAACACAAACAACUUGAACACCGUUUUCAGCCAAAUCCUUAACCCGAUCGUAAAAACAAGCCAUUGUCACUAUCAAUUUCGCAUUGGCAGCUUUGGCCUGUUUAGCAAUUUCCACAGCCGUGUAAAAAGGAUUGGCUGCUGUCAUGAUGGCGCCCCGGUAAGACGCACCAAGGAAGGUGAAGACAAACUCCGGGGAAUUGGGAAGUAAAUUCAUGACAACAUCACCCUUCUUAAUACCGAGGUUGUGUAAGCCAGCGGCGACUCGACGGGCUGUUAGCUGAACGUCAUGGUAGGUGUAAACAUCCCCGGUGGCGCCAUUGAUCAAACAGGGGCGUGAGGCGAACUUGGAGAGAUUUUGGAAAACAUAAUCGUGGAGUGGGAGGUGAUUGGGAAUGUGAAUAUCGGGAAGCUUUGAACGGAAAAUGAAUUCAUUAGUUUCGUUUGAUUCAAAGGCCAUUGUUGAG
This 8203-nucleotide long non-coding RNA is filed under the name Cucumis sativus (cucumber). RNAcentral describes it as "long non-coding RNA (CSAT_LNC002906)". The record is from RNAcentral. Lineage: Eukaryota; Viridiplantae; Streptophyta; Magnoliopsida; Cucurbitales; Cucurbitaceae.